RNAcentral lists this transfer RNA (72 nucleotides) under Danio rerio (zebrafish). RNAcentral's name for it is "tRNA-Glu (CTC) (tRNA-Glu-CTC-55-1)". It matches the Rfam family "tRNA". Rfam says of the family: Transfer RNA (tRNA) molecules are approximately 80 nucleotides in length. Their secondary structure includes four short double-helical elements and three loops (D, anti-codon, and T loops). Further hydrogen bonds mediate the characteristic L-shaped molecular structure. tRNAs have two regions of fundamental functional importance: the anti-codon, which is responsible for specific mRNA codon recognition, and the 3' end, to which the tRNAs corresponding amino acid is attached (by aminoacyl-tRNA synthetases). tRNAs cope with the degeneracy of the genetic code in two manners: having more than one tRNA (with a specific anti-codon) for a particular amino acid; and 'wobble' base-pairing, i.e. permitting non-standard base-pairing at the 3rd anti-codon position. Lineage: Eukaryota; Metazoa; Chordata; Actinopteri; Cypriniformes; Danionidae. The record is from Rfam by way of RNAcentral.
UCCCUGGUGGUCUAGUGGUUAGGAUUAGGUGCUCUCACUGCCGCGGCCCGGGUUCGAUUCCCGGUCAGGGAA